AGCUGUAAAUAUCAACCAAAUUGUGACAGGUGUAAUUGCUUUACAAGUUUUCAUUCAACGUAAACGUCAAGCAUCAACAGAAGAUCAAGGAGAGGAUUUUUUGUGGGAACUGAUUAGUCAAGAAGAGAUUUCGGGAGUAAUAAAGAAAACAUUAGGCCUUGUUUUUUACAUUGUGAACAUCAUUGAAGAAGAAGAAAAAUUACGUUCAGUUGUCAGAUAACUCUGGUGUUCAGAUUUCUCGACAAUUAUACUCUGGAAAUGGUGUGCUACUUGCGACGGACAGCUCCAUAAAAAGUGUAUCAAUGUUAAGAACUACAUCUGGUGAGAGCAAUUGAAUCUUUCGUGUUUGGGACGUCUUAAAAUGUUCAACGGUCUAAAUAUCAAUCUACCCUAGUCAUAUAGACUUGUAGUUAUGUGCGAUUCGAAAAAUCUUCCUUUAUUCCCAUUGUGCGUAUUUCGCAUGUGACGAAUGGAUAAAACGGUGUUGAUAAGAGGGUUCCGUCUACGCAGAAAAUAUAAGUGUGCUCUGGAUUUUGACAGUAAGGAAAAGGAGGAUUAUUGGUGAGAAAAAAUUUAUAUUCUUCAUAACAUUAUUUCUAUCUUCUGUUAGUUCAUUCCUGACAGUAACGGAUAUUCAACGAUAUCCUACGGAAGUCUUAGUCACAUCCGGAAAUUUGAAUAUCCCUACGAUGCCUUUAAGAUAUCUCAGGACAUCCCUGAGACAUCCUAUGGAUAUAAUAGUUUCCUGAUAUCCUUAUGAUAUCCGUAGGAUAUCCAGAAUAUUCAGAUGCUGUUAAUAAUUAUUUUUCUUUCUACUUCACCCUCUCCAUUUCUCUCGUACAUUCUACAUAAUUUUCAAAACAUUAUUUAGGUUGUUUAAUCAAAGUUAUAAAUUAAAACAUAUAUUACUUCACUAGAAGAUUUUUUAAUUCAAGUGCAAUUGCACGUGACCUUAAUAAAUUAUCACAUGGGUAAAAAAGAACUGUAAAUCUUGCCACGCUAUUAGAAAAACAUCCAGAUAAAUCUUUUGUAUGUGUUUAAAUCAAAUGUCUAUGAUAAGUCGUGAGUAAGUUAGCUUAAUAUAUUGUUGAUAUAUUUGGAUAUAUAAUUAAACUCAAACAAUUCCAUGAGUAUAAGUCAAAAAACAAUUUUAUAAAAAGAUAAAAAAAGGGUUGUAAAUCUUACCACGCUAUUAGAAAAACAUUCAGAUGAACCUUUUGCAUGUGUUUAAUUCAAAUGUCUAUGAUAAGUCGUGAGUAAGUUAACUUAAUAAUAUUGUUGCUUUAUUUGGAAAUAUAA
This is a long non-coding RNA of Leptopilina heterotoma, 1299 nucleotides long. RefSeq lists it as uncharacterized. NCBI's taxonomy places the organism in Eukaryota, Metazoa, Arthropoda, Insecta, Hymenoptera, Figitidae. The record is from RefSeq and is a predicted model, not a curated record. The transcript has 3 exons.